Molecule: ribosomal RNA, 320 nt
Filed under: uncultured bacterium
Lineage: Bacteria
Description: bacterial SSU rRNA
Rfam family: Bacterial small subunit ribosomal RNA
Source: RNAcentral
GAUAAACGCUGGCGGCGUGCAUGAGACAUGCAAGUCGAACGGACGUUCAGGGCUUGCCUUGAUCGUUAGUGGCGGACGGCUGAGUAACGCGUAGGUGACCUGCCCCAAAGAGGGGAAUAACUGCUGGAAACGGUGGCUAAUACCCCAUGUGCUCGGUGGUUCGGUCCAUCGAGUAAAGCUUAGGCGCUUUGGGAGGGGCCUGCGGCCCAUCAGGUAGUUGGUAGGGUAAUGGCCUACCAAGCCGAUGACGGGUAGGGGACGUGAGAGCGUGAACCCCCACACUGGCACUGAGAUACGGGCCAGACUCCUACGGGAGGCUG